AAGUCGUAACAAGGUUUCCGUAGGUGAACCUGCGGAAGGAUCAUUAACACUUUUAAUAAUCUAUAACAACAUAACAACGUGACACUUUAUUUAUCCCUUGCAUCAUUAGCUAGAGAUAGCUGGGCAAGGCUAACCAACCUUUAUUAUUUUUUACACCCCAAUUUUAUUUAUUUCUAUAUCAAUUUAAUUUAUUUUAAUAUUGAUAGGGAUAUAAUAAUAAUAAACACUUUUUGUUUUGGCUAACGCUUUAACAAACUAACUUAAAUAUAUUCUCAAUCGUAACAACGAUUGUGUAUAUUUUAAAUUAUCAAAUAUCUAUAAGAUUAUAAACAACUCUUAGCAAUGGAUAUCUUGGUUCUC
RNAcentral lists this unclassified non-coding RNA (360 nucleotides) under fungal sp. RNAcentral describes it as "partial internal transcribed spacer region". The stretch from base 1 to 46 matches the Rfam family "Eukaryotic small subunit ribosomal RNA", at positions 1786 to 1831 of the family's 1831-position model. The record is from RNAcentral. Lineage: Eukaryota; Fungi.